UGGGGAAUAUUGCGCAAUCGGCGAAAGCCUGACGCAGCAACGCCGCGUGAGUGAUGAAGGCCUUCGGGUCGUAAAGCUCUGUCGGAGGGAACGAAUGCUCCUGAAGUUAACAGCUUCAGGAAGUGACGGUACCCUCAAAGGAAGCACCGGCUAACUCUGUGCCAGCAGCCGCGGUAAUACAGAGGGUGCAAGCGUUGUUCGGAAUCAUUGGGCGUAAAGGGCGUGUAGGCGGUAUGUUAAGUCAUGUGUGAAAUCCCUCGGCUCAACCGGGGAACGACGCAUGAAACUGGCAAGCUAGAGUACAGAAGGGGCAAUCGGAAUUCUUGGUGUAGCGGUGAAAUGCGUAGAUAUCAAGAGGAACACCUGAGGCGAAGGCGGGUUGCUGGGCUGAUACUGACGCUGAGGCGCGAAAGCUAGGGUAGCAAACGGGAUUAGAUACCCAAGUAGUCCCUGAGCGGGCUGGCAAGGCGCAU
Molecule: ribosomal RNA, 473 nt
Filed under: uncultured bacterium
Lineage: Bacteria
Description: bacterial SSU rRNA
Rfam family: Bacterial small subunit ribosomal RNA
Source: RNAcentral